RNAcentral lists this ribosomal RNA (513 nucleotides) under Triticum aestivum (bread wheat). RNAcentral describes it as "partial small subunit ribosomal RNA". The record is from RNAcentral. Lineage: Eukaryota; Viridiplantae; Streptophyta; Magnoliopsida; Poales; Poaceae.
AUGCAUGACAUGAGUCACACAACAACACCAAUGGAUGAAGAUGGAGAUCAUGUUAUUGUUUCAGAUGAUGAAGAAGAGGAUGAUGUGGAAGAGGUCGAGGUGCUACCUUCUAAGCGCAAGCUCACAUCUAAGGUUUGGUUGGAAAUGAAGAAGAUGAGGAUCAAUGGUGAAUGGAAGGCCAAGUGUAAUUGGUGUCACAAGGUACUUACCGCGGGAUCGAAGAAUGGAACUAAGCAUCUUCGUUUGCAUCUUGAUAUUUGCACUCUUAAGAAGUUGAAGACCAAGGGAGGUAAAAUUUUGAGUCAAUCCUCAUUGAAGGUGAGUGCGGAAGAGGAUGGGAAAGUGAGCAUGGAGAGCUAUAGUUUUGAUCAAUAUUAUGCUAGAUUUGAGCUUGGCAACAUGUUGGUGUUGCAUGAUUAUCCAUUGUCUAUGGUAGACCAUGUUGGUUUUAGGAUAUUUGUUGCUGCCCUUCAGCCGUUAUUCAAGCUUCAUACAAGAAAUACUAUCCGGUAA